AGAAAGUUUGAUUCUUGCUUGAACUUUUAUUUUAUGGUUAGUGUACAUGCAUAUUUUAGUGGGUGAGGGAUAAAAAAUAAAGAUAAUUUAUGAUGUAAUGGUGGUCUUAUUAUUCGCAGUACGGAGGAUUAAAUAUUGAAUUAGGAUUUGAUUUAGUAAAUUAUAAGAAGCUUGAUGAAAUUUUGUGCCAGCAAUCGCGGUUAGACUAAAAAGCUUAGUAAAAGUAUUUUAGUAAAGGUUAUUUUGUGUUUAAAGGUAAAUUGAAAUUUAUAACAAUAAAAGGUGAAAUUAGUUUAUCGAGAAUAAAUGGAAGUUGAAUUGAAAAGGAAAAGAGGCCGGUAAAUUAAGAUAUAAACCAGGAUUAGAUACCCUGUUAUACUUAAAAAGUAAAAAAUAAAACUCGAAUAUUAGUAGAUAUGGUCUUUAAAUUCAAAGAAUUUGGCGGUGUUUUAGUCUUGUUAGAGGAACCUGUUCUGUAAACGAUACAACACGAAGAAUCUUACUCACUCUUGUUUAACAGUUUGUAUACCGUCAUUAUUAGAUAACCCUUAUUGGGGUAGUUAUUGAAAUUUAAGAAGUUAAAGUAUAUUAGAUCAAGGUGCAGUUUAUGAGUGAGAAGAAAUGGGUUACAAUAAAAUUUAUUUAUCACGUAUCAGUAAUUGAAUAAUUUCUGUGAAGGGGGAUUUAAUUGUAACAUAUAUAGUUUAAUAAGUGGGUGUGAUAUGAGAACUAAAAUAUGUACAUAUCGCCCGUCGCUUCCGUUUAAGGUGGAAUAAGUCGUAACAUAGUAGGUGUACCGGAAGGUGUACCUAGAAUUAA
This 819-nucleotide non-coding RNA is filed under the name Cherax bicarinatus. Lineage: Eukaryota; Metazoa; Arthropoda; Malacostraca; Decapoda; Parastacidae. The record is from RNAcentral.